Molecule: RNA transcript, 930 nt
Organism: Mauremys mutica (yellowpond turtle)
Lineage: Eukaryota; Metazoa; Chordata; Testudines; Geoemydidae
Gene name: lymphocyte antigen 6E-like
Exons: 3
Source: RefSeq, a predicted model, not a curated record
GUCAGUUCAUGCUCUGUGGUUGGCUGAUGUCAUUAUGGACAAAAUUCCCCCUGAAGCCUCAUGCUAACUGCUGAAGCCAGUGUCUCCCAGGAUACCAGCCUCUCACUCGCUGGUGUGCUUCACCUGUAAGGAUGCGUCCUCCAAUUGGCGUUGUCUGGCACCAACUAUGUGUCGAAGUGCUGAAAACAACUGUGUGACAGAAUAUAGUAUUUUAGAAACUGGCGGACAUUCCGGGCAGAGCAUCUCCAAGCAGUGUUCUGUACAUUGCCCCGGCGGUGUUUCCUGCUGCAGUUUUUCCUUCUGCAACUUCAGCAGGGCCAGCAGCGUGAAAGUCAGCUACUCCGUGCUGGCCAUGGUGGUCUUGGCCAGCUUUGUCUAUGUCAGAGCCGGACUCUGAUCAGGCCAGGAAAAAAGAAGUUGAUGCCCUGAAGAAUCUGCUCAGGCUUCUCCAACAAGACACCAACCCCCCCUCUGUGCAAAGCUAUAUGGGGGUUAACAAUGGUGCCCUUUCUUCCAAACUCUCAGAUCUCCAGAUUGUGGAGAUGCCCGCUUGCACUCUUAACCCAUCAGGAAAUGUUGGAUAAUGUUGGCAGGGUUUCUGCUUUUAUACCCAUAGUACCUGUUGAUGGGGAUGAUUUAAAAAAAAAAAGUCAGGGCUCAUCAAGAAAUGUUUAUCCCAAACCACCUCUUAAACACCCCUGCCUCUUGCUACCGCAGAGACAUUUCCCAUCCACGUCAUGCUAGGGAUCAGCGCCAGACUGGCUGCUGGGAAGGCAUGAUCCAGAACCAAACCCCAGAUACAUUCACCCCUGGUUGGAUUCUGUUUUUUUACAUUGUUUUUUUUAUUCUGCUCCUAGGCUGACUUUUCUUAUGUAAAACGAAUGCAGUGUGAGGCAUGUGAGCAUCACACCUGAAUAAACACUUUCCUGU